UUGGCUCAGGAUGAACGCUGGCGGCGUGCCUAACACAUGCAAGUCGAACGGAGUUACUAGAGCUUGCUUUGGUAACUUAGUGGCGGACGGGUGAGUAAUGUAUGAGCAACCUGCCUUUCAGAGGGGGACAACAGUUGGAAACGACUGCUAAUACCGCAUAAUGUGCGAGGGGGGCAUCCCUUUUGUACCAAAGGAGCAAUCCGCUGAAAGAUGGGCUCAUAUCUGAUUAGUUAGUUGGCAGGGUAACGGCCUACCAAGACUGCGAUCAGUAGCCGGACUGAGAGGUUGAACGGCCACAUUGGGACUGAGAUACGGCCCAGACUCCUACGGGAGGCAGCAGUGGGGAAUA
Molecule: ribosomal RNA, 349 nt
Filed under: uncultured rumen bacterium
Lineage: Bacteria
Description: bacterial SSU rRNA
Rfam family: Bacterial small subunit ribosomal RNA
Source: RNAcentral